GACGAACGCUGGCGGCGUGCUUAACACAUGCAAGUCGAACGGAAAGGCCCUGCUUUUGUGGGGUGCUCGAGUGGCGAACGGGUGAGUAACACGUGAGUAACCUGCCCUUGACUUUGGGAUAACUUCAGGAAACUGGGGCUAAUACCGGAUAGGAGCUCCUGCUGCAUGGUGGGGGUUGGAAAGUUUCGGCGGUUGGGGAUGGACUCGCGGCUUAUCAGCUUGUUGGUGGGGUAGUGGCUUACCAAGGCUUUGACGGGUAGCCGGCCUGAGAGGGUGACCGGCCAAAUGGGGACGGAGAUACGGCCCAGACUCCUACGGGGGGCAGAGGGGGGGAAUAUUGCAAAAGGGGGGGAAGCCUGAUGCAGCAACGCCGGGGGGGGGAGGACGGCCUUGGGGUUGUAAAUCGCUUUCGCCUGGGACGAAGCGGGGGGGACGGUAAUGGGUAAAGAAGCACCGGCUAACUACGU
RNAcentral lists this ribosomal RNA (467 nucleotides) under uncultured bacterium. RNAcentral describes it as "partial 16S ribosomal RNA". It matches the Rfam family "Bacterial small subunit ribosomal RNA", at positions 28 to 506 of the family's 1533-position model. The record is from RNAcentral.